RNAcentral lists this ribosomal RNA (516 nucleotides) under uncultured bacterium. Its description in RNAcentral is "partial 16S ribosomal RNA". It matches the Rfam family "Bacterial small subunit ribosomal RNA", at positions 29 to 523 of the family's 1533-position model. The record is from RNAcentral.
AGCGAACGCUGGCGGCGUGCCUAACACAUGCAAGUCGAACGUGAAAUGGGGCAACCCAAAGUAAAGUGGCGUACGGGUGAGUAACGCGUAGGUAAUCUACCGAAGAGUCUGGAAUAACCGGCCGAAAGGCUGGCUAAUACUGGAUAGAGCGACGGGACUCGUAAUCGGGUCUUUCGGGAAAGGGAGGCAGCAAUGUCCCUUGCUCUUCGAUGAGCCCGCGGCCCAUCAUGCUAGUUUGUAGGGUACCGGCCUACCAAGGCGAAGACGGGUAGCGGGUCUGAGAGGACGAUCAGCCACACUGGAACUGAGACACGGUCCAGACUCCUACGGGAGGCAGCAGUGGGGAAUCUUGCGCAUGGACGAAAGUCUGACGCAGCGACGCCGCGUGUGGGAUGAAGGCCUUCGGGUCGUAAACCACUGUCGCGAGGGACGAACAAGGUGCCGGUAAAUAAUCGGCGCCCCUGACGGUACCUCGAGAGGAAGCAACGGCUAACUCUGUGCCAGCCGCCGCGGUAA